CCUACGGGGGGCAGCAGUAGGGAAUCUUCCACAAUGGGCGCAAGCCUGAUGGAGCAACACCGCGUGAGUGAAGAAGGGUUUCGGCUCGGAAAGCUCUGUUGUUGGAGAAGAACGUGCGUGAGAGUAACUGUUCACGCAGUGACGGUAUCCAACCAGAAAGUCACGGCUAACUACGUGCCAGCAGCCGCGGUAAUACGUAGGUGGCAAGCGUUAUCCGGAUUUAUUGGGCGUAAAGCGAGCGCAGGCGGUUGCUUAGGUCUGAUGUGAAAGCCUUCGGCUUAACCUAAGAAGUGCAUCGGAAACCGGGCAACUUGAGUGCAGAAGAGGACAGUGGAACUCCAGGUGUAGCGGUGGAAUGCGUAGAUAUAUGGAAGAACACCAGUGGCGAAGGCGGCUGUCUGGUCUGCAACUGACGCUGAGGCUCGAAAGCAUGGGUAGCGAACAGGAUUAGAUACCCCAGUAGUC
This 465-nucleotide ribosomal RNA is filed under the name uncultured bacterium. Its description in RNAcentral is "partial 16S ribosomal RNA". It matches the Rfam family "Bacterial small subunit ribosomal RNA", at positions 338 to 795 of the family's 1533-position model. The record is from RNAcentral.